UAUGAUCCAGAGUACCACGGGACACGUGAAACCCUGUGGGAAGCAGGAGGGACCACCCUCCAAGGCUAAAUACUACCUAGUGACCGAUAGCGUAUAGUACCGUGAGGGAAAGGUGAAAAGAACCCCGGGAGGGGAGUGAAAUAGAACCUGAAACCCUGCACUUACAAGCUGUGGAAGCACAUUUCUUGUGUGACCGCGUACUUUUUGUAGAACGGGCCAACGAGUUACGUUAAGUAGCAAGGUUAAGCACUUAAGGUGCGGAGCCGUAGCGAAAGCGAGUUUUAACUGAGCGUUCAGUUACUUGACGUAGACCCGAAACCGGGCGACCUACCCAUGAGCAGGAUGAAGCGAAAGUAAAAUUUCGUGGAGGUCCGAACCCACGAGCGUUGAAAAGCUCGGGGAUGACUUGUGGGUAGCGGUGAAAUUCCAAUCGAGCCCGGAGAUAGCUGGUUCUCCCCGAAAUAGCUUUAGGGCUAGCCUCAAGGUGAGAGAUACGGAGGUAGAGCACUGAAUGUCCUAGGGGGUAUUGCACCUACCGAAGACUAUCAAACUCCGAAUGCCGUCAUCUUAUACUUGGGAGUCAGACUGUGGGUGAUAAGAUUCAUAGUCGAAAGGGCAACAGCCCAGAUCGUCAGCUAAGGUCCCUAAAUGUAAGUUAAGUGGUAAAGGAUGUGGGAUUGCACAGACAACCAGGAUGUUGGCUUAGAAGCAGCCACUCAUUCAAAGAGUGCGUAAUAGCUCACUGGUCGAGUGAUCCUGCGCCGAAGAUUUCCGGGGCUAAAACUUACUACCGAAGCUACGGCAUCAGUAAUGAUGGGUAGGGGAGCUUCCCAUACGGGUUGAAGCAUGACCGUAAGGACAUGUGGACAGUAUGGGAGUGAGAAUGUUGGCAUGAGUAGCGAGAUGUGGGUGGGAAUCCCACAGGCCGUAAACCCAAGGUUUCCAGGGGAAGGUUCGUCCGCCCUGGGUUAGUCGGGACCUAAGCUGAGGCCGAAAGGCGUAGGUGAUGGACAACAGGUUGAUAUUCCUGUACUACCGAUAACCGUUUGAGAGAAGGGAUGACACAGUAGGAUAAGCUAAGCACACUGUUGGUUAUGUGUGCCCAAGCAUUGAGGCAGUCAAAGUAGGCAAAUCCGCUUUGAUAAUGCUGGGAUGUGAUGGGGAGCGAAAUUUAGUAGCGAAGUAGCUGAUUUCACACUGUCAAGAAAAGUCUCUAUCGAGGUUAAAGGUACCCGUACCGCAAACCGACACAGGUGGGUGAGGAGAGUAUCCUAAGGCCAGCGAGAGAACUGUUGUUAAGGAACUCGGCAAAAUGACCCCGUAACUUAGGGAUAAGGGGUGCCACCAUCAGGUGGCCGCAGAGAAUAGGCCCAAGCGACUGUUUACCAAAAACAUAGGUUUCUGCUAAGUCGCAAGACGAUGUAUAGGAGCUGACGCCUGCCCGGUGCUGGAAGGUUAAGGGGAUCUGUUAGAGCAAUCGAAGCAGUGAACUUAAGCCCCAGUAAACGGCGGCCGUAACUAUAACGGUCCUAAGGUAGCGAAAUUCCUUGUCGGGUAAGUUCCGACCCGCACGAAAGGCGUAACGAUUUGGGCACUGUCUCAACAACAGACUCGGUGAAAUUGUAAUUCCGGUGAAGAUGCCGGAUACCUGCGACAGGACGGAAAGACCCCAUGGAGCUUUACUGUAGCUUGACAUUGGGUCUUGGUACUACAUGUACAGGAUAGGUGGGAGGCUUUGAAACCAGGACGCCAGUUUUGGCGGAGCCAUCCUUGGGAUACCACCCUUGUAGUACUGGGACUCUAACCAUAGGCCAUGAAUCUGGUCUUGGGACACUGUCAGGUGGGCAGUUUGACUGGGGCGGUCGCCUCCCAAAAGGUAACGGAGGCGCUCAAAGGUUCUCUCAGUACGGUCGGAAAUCGUACGUAGAGUGUAAAGGCAAAAGAGAGCUUGAUUGCAAGACAUACAGGUCGAGCAAGGAUGAAAAUCGGACUUAGUGAUCCGGUGGUUCUGCGUGGAAGGGCCAUCGCUCAACGGAUAAAAGCUACCCUGGGGAUAACAGGCUUAUCUCCCCCAAGAGUCCACAUCGACGGGGAGGUUUGGCACCUCGAUGUCGGCUCAUCACAUCCUGGGGCUGUAGUAGGUCCCAAGGGUUGGGCUGUUCGCCCAUUAAAGUGGUACGCGAGCUGGGUUCAGAACGUCGUGAGACAGUUCGGUCCCUAUCCGUCGCAGGCGUAGGAAAUUUGAGAAGACCUGUCCUUAGUACGAGAGGACCGGGAUGGACGUACCUCUGGUGUACCAGUUGUCCUGCCAAGGGCAUGGCUGGGUAGCUAUGUACGGAAUGGAUAAGCGCUGAAAGCAUCUAAGCGCGAAGCCAACUUCAAGAUAAGAUUUCCCACCGCAAGGGUAAGACCCCAGAAAGACUAUCUGGUUGAUAGGUCGAAGGUGUAAGUGCAGCAAUGUAUUUAGCUUAUCGAUACUAAUAGGUCGAGGACUUGACCAA
This 2501-nucleotide ribosomal RNA is filed under the name Clostridioides difficile E14. RNAcentral describes it as "bacterial LSU rRNA". It matches the Rfam family "Bacterial large subunit ribosomal RNA", at positions 401 to 2925 of the family's 2925-position model. The record is from RNAcentral. Lineage: Bacteria; Bacillati; Bacillota; Clostridia; Peptostreptococcales; Peptostreptococcaceae.